UUUUCACCUAGACGCGUCGGAAAAUUCAAAGUUUAAAUACAAUAGAACCUUGACAAUUCGAAUUAAUCGGGAGACAUGUUCAAACAGGGAAUUGUUAGGUAGGAGAAUAUUUUGUGUGUUGUGAUGUUACUGGUCUUCGUUUAUGCAAUUGAAAAAAUAGAAAGUGAAUAUUGAUAAUGACAGUCGUAAAUACUGAAAUUAUACAUAACUUUUGAACUUAUGACAGAACUAGAAAGUGAUAUUCCGAUUUCUCUACAUUCUGUGAAGCAACGAAGAAGUGAACGUGAAACAAAACACUGAAAAACGAAACUACGUUUACUUUAUUAAUCGCAACCAAUCUUCGAUUGAUUGAGCAUCGGCAGUUUACUGUAAUACCUAUGACCCAGCGAAAUCGAAAGAUCUUUAAUAAAUUAUCUUUAAUAAGAUAAAUUGAAAUUUUUUAGCGUUCGUAUUGUUGGAAGCUUCCCUUGCCAGCCUUAGUUCCAAAGAGAUUUAAUUUCAGAUUGGAAAUAACUCAAUUACGGAAGUAAAUCGAGGAAACUUUCAGGACCCCGUUGAGAACUAUCGUAACUGUGACAGAGACAUGGUUCUGCAGCGAAUAAUGUUAUCGUGGUACAUUCUACGAGUUUCUGGAGAAUAAAGGAAAAUGGAGAAAUAUUCUUACAUGACCAGUUGGGACAGACGUGACUCGAAUUUUCGUUGGAGCAUCAAAAUUAUUGGCCGAUUUCUAGAGAGUACAUUACGUUUCAUACUUUAAAUAAAACUAGGUUUCGAAGAACAGAAAGUACGUGAAGAAUGUAAAGUAUGAACUGUUUUGAAAUCGUCGUAUGGUUGAGAAAGGAAUAUUACUUUCACGUAUAUUACUUCCAUGUAUUUUAUUUAUCUAUUAAUUUUUGUAUAUGUCCACUUUAUUUAUAAUUUUCUAACAUGAAACCUAAUACUUUUCAACGUGUCGACCAUAUUUCCAUCUACUGUCAAGAGAAACCACUGCCUCAAAGAAAGUGACGAUAAGAAUAUAAUCCAGAAUCAUCUGUCGCGUAGACUCUGGCUUUCUUUUCCCUGCCUAGUUCCCUUUGCCACGAAUGAAAGGGACAAUUCUUCUAGCCUUCACGGACAAAGGCACGCGCUGCCUUGAACGUUGUUCAUCUUUGGUCGGUAACUCAGCGAACCGUUCCCAUUCAGACUCUAGCAUCGUCGACUUCUUUAUUGAAAGAUUCUAGGAAAACCGAAAGAAAUUUGAAACACAGACCAGUUAGAGGCAAAAAUGAAUGGAGCAGCGACGAGUGGAGGAAGCUACUCCAUUUCAGAGCUGUGCUGCGAGGAUCUAAAAUAGAUGAGUAUAAUAUAUUCACGAACGUUGUUUGAUUUUGAUACACAGAAAGAUUCUUUGUAGCUUUCCAGAGGAUUCUAUGUAUAGUCAAUAUUAUAAUGACUACAUAUGUUAAAAUUUUAUAUAAUAAAAGUAUCAUAGAUACCAUGCAAGUACAAUAAAAUAAGUAUAACAUCAACAAACCAUGUUUUAAAAUAAUGUGUCGAGAGUUUCAUUCGUUCAGUUGCAAUACAAAUGCAGAAUACGAAAACAAAUAACAAUCGACACCUGAACAAAUUCUAUCAAUCGCGAAAGACGUCGGAGAUUUUCGCUAUAAAGUUGUAAAAAUUUUCAACGACUCGAUGAACCCACGCGCGAG
Molecule: long non-coding RNA, 1688 nt
Organism: Hylaeus anthracinus
Lineage: Eukaryota; Metazoa; Arthropoda; Insecta; Hymenoptera; Colletidae
Exons: 3
Source: RefSeq, a predicted model, not a curated record